This 492-nucleotide ribosomal RNA is filed under the name uncultured bacterium. RNAcentral describes it as "partial 16S ribosomal RNA". It matches the Rfam family "Bacterial small subunit ribosomal RNA", at positions 29 to 507 of the family's 1533-position model. The record is from RNAcentral.
AGUGAACGCUGGCGGUAGGCCUAACACAUGCAAGUCGAACGGCAGCACAGUAAGAGCUUGCUCUUACGGGUGGCGAGUGGCGGACGGGUGAGGAAUACAUCGGAAUCUACUUUUUCGUGGGGGAUAACGUAGGGAAACUUACGCUAAUACCGCAUACGACCUACGGGUGAAAGCAGGGGAUCUUCGGACCUUGCGCGAUUGGAUGAGCCGAUGUCGGAUUAGCUAGUUGGCGGGGUAAGGGCCCACCAAGGCGACGACCCGUAGCUGGUCUGAGAGGAUGAUCAGCCACACUGGAACUGAGACACGGUCCAGACUCCUACGGGAGGCAGCAGUGGGGAAUAUUGGACAAUGGGCGCAAGCCUGAUCCAGCCAUACCGCGUGGGUGAAGAAGGCCUUCGGGUUGUAAAGCCCUUUUGUUGGGAAAGAAAAGCAGCAGGUUAAUACCCCGCUGUUCUGACGGUACCCAAAGAAUAAGCACCGGCUAACUUCGUG